RNAcentral lists this ribosomal RNA (1436 nucleotides) under uncultured bacterium. RNAcentral describes it as "bacterial SSU rRNA". It matches the Rfam family "Bacterial small subunit ribosomal RNA". The record is from RNAcentral.
GUUUGAUCAUGGCUCAGAACGUACGCUGGCGGCACGCCUAACACAUGCAAGUCGAACGAAGUAGCAAUACUUAGUGGCAGACGGGUGAGUAACAUGUAGGUAUCUGCCCUUUGGCCUGGAAUAACACGAGGAAACUUGUGCUAAUACCGGAUAAGUCUUUACGGAGAAAGCUUUAUGCACCAUUGGAUGAGCCUGCACUUGAUUAGUUUGUUGGUGGGGUAAUGGCCUACCAAGACUGUGAUCAAUAGCUGAUUUGAGAGGAUGAUCAGCCACAUUGGGACUGAGACACGGCCCAAACUCCUACGGGAGGCAGCAGUGGGGAAUCUUGCACAAUGGAGGAAACUCUGAUGCAGCGAUGCCGCGUGAGUGAAGAAGGCCUUUGGGUUGUAAAGCUCUUUCGUCGGGGAAGAAAAUGACUGUACCCGAAUAAGAAGGUCCGGCUAACUUCGUGCCAGCAGCCGCGGUAAUACGAAGGGACCUAGCGUAGUUCGGAAUUACUGGGCUUAAAGAGUUCGUAGGUGGUUGAAAAAGUUGGUGGUGAAAUCCCAGAGCUUAACUCUGGAACUGCCAUCAAAACUUUUCAGCUAGAGUAUGAUAGAGGAAAGCAGAAUUUCUAGUGUAGAGGUGAAAUUCGUAGAUAUUAGAAAGAAUACCAAUUGCGAAGGCAGCUUUCUGGAUCAUUACUGACACUGAGGAACGAAAGCAUGGGUAGCGAAGAGGAUUAGAUACCCUCGUAGUCCAUGCCGUAAACGAUGUGUGUUAGACGUUGGAAAUUUAUUUUCAGUGUCGCAGCGAAAGCGAUAAACACACCGCCUGGGGAGUACGACCGCAAGGUUAAAACUCAAAUGAAUUGACGGGGACCCGCACAAGUAGUGGAGCAUGUGGUUUAAUUCGAAGAUACGCGCAGAACCUUACCAACACUUGACAUGUUCGUCGCGACUUUAAGAGAUUAGAGUUUUCGGUUCGGCCGGACGAAACACAGGUGCUGCAUGGCUGUCGUCAGCUCGUGUCGUGAGAUGUUGGGUUAAGUCCCGCAACGAGCGCAACCCUCACUUUUAGUUGCCAUCAUUUAGUUGGGCACUCUGAAAGAACUGCCAGUGAUAAGCUGGAGGAAGGUGGGGAUGACGUCAAGUCCUCAUGGCCCUUACGUGUUGGGCUACACACGUGCUACAAUGGUAUCUACAACAGGAAGCAAGACGGCGACGUUAAGCAAAUCCUUAAAAGAUACCUCAGUUCGGAUUGCACUCUGCAACUCGAGUGCAUGAAGCUGGAAUUACUAGUAAUCGUGGAUCAGCGUGCCACGGUGAAUGCGUUCCCGGGUCUUGUACACACCGCCCGUCACACCAUGGGAGUUGGUUCUACCUUAAGGCAAGGUUUUAAACCCUUGACCACGGUAUAGUCAGCGACUGGGGUGAAGUCGUAACAAGGUAACCGUA